UACGUAAGGGGGCUAGCGUUGUCCGGAAUUAUGUGGCGUUAAAGAGCGUGUAGGCGGCCCGGUAAGUCCGCUGUAAAAGUCAAAGGCUUAACCUUUGAAUGUCAGUGGAUACUGCCGGGCUAGAGUCCGGAAGAGGCGAGUGGAACUCCUGGUGUAGCGGUGGAAUGCGCAGAUAUCAGGAAGAACACCAACGGCGAAGGCAGCUCGCUAGGACGGUACUGACGCUGAGACGCGAAAGCGUGGGGAGCGAACAGG
RNAcentral lists this ribosomal RNA (255 nucleotides) under uncultured bacterium. RNAcentral's name for it is "partial 16S ribosomal RNA". It matches the Rfam family "Bacterial small subunit ribosomal RNA", at positions 524 to 776 of the family's 1533-position model. The record is from RNAcentral.